RNAcentral lists this unclassified non-coding RNA (1477 nucleotides) under uncultured fungus. RNAcentral describes it as "sequence contains 18S rRNA gene, ITS1, 5.8S rRNA gene, ITS2, 28S rRNA gene". The stretch from base 530 to 1477 matches the Rfam family "Eukaryotic large subunit ribosomal RNA", at positions 1 to 961 of the family's 3401-position model. Lineage: Eukaryota; Fungi. The record is from RNAcentral.
GGAAGGAUCAUUACCAGAAGAGACCCUAACCGGUCCUCUCAACCCUGCCUAUCGUACCCUUUGUGUUGUUCCCUCGGCGAGGCUUGCAGGCCUGCCGGCGGGAAGAUCAACAAAACCCUUUGCAAGCAAGCAUCCUGAAACCUCUGAUCAAAUACAAAUUGUCACAACUUUCAACAAUGGAUCUCUUGGUUCUGGCAUCGAUGAAGAACGCAGCGAAAUGCGAUAAGUAGUGUGAAUUGCAGAAUUCAGUGAAUCAUCGAAUCUUUGAACGCACAUUGCGCCCCUCGGUAUUCCGUGGGGCAUGCCUGUUCGAGCGUCAUUUACACCUCUCAAGCUCUGCUUGGUGUUGGGCGUCUGUCCGCUGCUGAGUUGCUACGGAGUAGUAUUAUAUCCGUUGCCAUAGGCUAUGGACUCACCCUAAAGGCAUUGGCAGCGGCAUCCGCCGGGCUUUCCCCAUCAGCGCAGCACUGUUCGCGCACCCGGGGAGCCGCGCGGAGGCUGCGUCCAUGAAGCCCCAUCUUUUGCAAGUUGACCUCGGAUCAGGUAGGGAUACCCGCUGAACUUAAGCAUAUCAAUAAGCGGAGGAAAAGAAACCAACUGGGAUUGCCUUAGUAACGGCGAGUGAAGCGGCAACAGCUCAAAUUUGAAAUCUGGCCUCUUUAUGGGGUCCGAGUUGUAAUUUGCAGAGGGUGCUUUGGCUUUGGUUGCGGUCUAAGUUCCUUGGAACAGGACAUCAAAGAGGGUGAGAAUCCUGUAUUUGGUCGCGCACCAUCGCCGUGUAAAGCCCCUUCGACGAGUCGAGUUGUUUGGGAAUGCAGCUCUAAAUGGGAGGUAAAUUCCUUCUAAAGCUAAAUACCGGCCAGAGACCGAUAGCGCACAAGUAGAGUGAUCGAAAGAUGAAAAGCACUUUGGAAAGAGAGUUAAAAAGCACGUGAAAUUGUUGAAAGGGAAGCGCUUGCAGCCAGACUUGCCCGCAGUUGCUCACCCAGGCUCUUGCCUGGGGCACUCUUCUGCGGGCAGGCCAGCAUCAGCUCGGGCGGUCGGAUAAAGGCCUCUGUCAUGUAUCUUCCUUCGGGAUGACCUUAUAGGGGAGGCGUAACACGGCCAGCCCGGGCUGAGGACCGCGCAUCUGCUAGGAUGCUGGCGUAAUGGCCGCAAGCGGCCCGUCUUGAAACACGGACCAAGGAGUCUAACAUCUGUGCGAGUGUUUGGGUGUCAAGCCCGGGCGCGCAAUGAAAGUGAACGGAGGUGGGAACCCUCUCCGGGGGGUGCACCAUCGACCGAUCCUGAUGUCUUCGGAUGGAUUUGAGUAAGAGCACGGCUGUUGGGACCCGAAAGAUGGUGAACUAUGCUUGAAUAGGGUGAAGCCAGAGGAAACUCUGGUGGAGGCUCGCAGCGGUUCUGACGUGCAAAUCGAUCGUCAAAUUUGGGCAUAGGGGCGAAAGACUAAUCGAACUAUCUAGUAGCUGGUUCCUGC